RNAcentral lists this small nucleolar RNA (81 nucleotides) under Pteropus vampyrus (large flying fox). RNAcentral describes it as "Small nucleolar RNA SNORA31 (ENSPVAG00000027974.1)". Lineage: Eukaryota; Metazoa; Chordata; Mammalia; Chiroptera; Pteropodidae. The record is from RNAcentral.
GUGCAAAUGCAAGUAAAAAGUGUCUUCUCUUUUUCUGUCUGUCUGUUUGUGACAGUCAAGAUUGAAUGGGGGAAUACAGUG